GGUGUCAUCUAGUGUUUAACUUAAGUUAAACUUGAUUCUAUUUCAUUCAAUAACUAUGGCUUUUCUCAUUCGCAGUGUUGAUUUUGUGUUUCAGGUCUCAUCAGUUAGGGCAGAUGUCAAAAUAGAAUCUGGAGUACCUGUUACAGAUCCGUCACUCACGCCAGGCCUGACCAUGCCGUUCUAUGGGACUGGUGUUCAGUCAACAAAUAUUGUAGAUACCAGUAGUUUUGUUCCACCAAUCAGAGAACAUAGGUUUCCUAAUGCUGUUUGGCAACAAACUUCAGUGCCAGCUCCUGAUCCAAGUAAUCCAGGUGGCUGGACACCUCAAGGGCAGUUCAUCCAACAGUUACCUCCUCCUCCAACGCUGGAUUACCAUCCAACUCAAUAUUCUUAUCACCAAAGUUCACCAGGGUAUCAACAAACAGCUCAAGGCACGUUUAUGCAAACACCAAAUGGGAGCUAUACCUCCUCUCAACCAUCCCCUUUAGUUAAUGGUGGCGUAACACCAACUGUUAAUUCAAAUCAACAGCUGAAUGGCUCAACAAUGGAAUAUGUUGAUGCAUCACCUAGACCAUCUGAAUUUGUCAAUGGGACUUACAGUCAUUCAAAUCAAGAUGUCACAAUGAUACCUCCUUCAACAACACCAAACAGCAGGUGCAGUUCUGUUCAUGCGGAAAGCAACGGAGAUGCUGUUAACAAUAUCCCUAGCUCUGUAGUCAAAACACCAACAAGCAACAGCUUCUCUUCUGGGCAGGGAAACGCAAUGCCUGGGUACCCACAUCAACUACCUCCCCAAUCUCAGCAGAGUUCACACAACUCUAAUGGGUACCCAGGCGGUGAAAUAAAUUCUGGGGAACAGUCAGCUGAACAAGAGUCUCUUAAACUGAUGAAAUCAGAAAGGCUCAGUCCUUUCUCCCCGCAGUCAUCUUGGGCAAAUGCUCGAUCUCAAAAUUUUUCGGGAAAUAGGAAUGAGCGAAAUAAUUCAGAAAAUCUUCCUAACAAUGAUGUAAAUAUUUCCUCAUAUCAGCAGCAGUCUGAACAGCCAAGCCAUGCAAGUAGUCAUGUAAACAACCGGCUAAAAAACAUGAUUUUAAAUAAACAACAACAAAACAACCAACAGCAGCAGCAAAACUUAAAUUUACAGUACCAGCAACAGCAACAGCAACAUCAUCAGCAACAACAACAACAGCAGCAACAGCAACAACAACAACAACAACAACAACAACAACAACAACAACAACAACAACAACACAACAACAACACAACAACAACAACAACAGCAACAGCAGCAUCAACAGCAGCUACAACACCAACACCAACAACAACAACAGCAACAACAGCAGCAGCUACAACAACAGCACCAACAACAGCAACAGCUUCAACGACAACAUCAACAGCAAAUGGCUGA
Molecule: long non-coding RNA, 1408 nt
Filed under: Bemisia tabaci
Lineage: Eukaryota; Metazoa; Arthropoda; Insecta; Hemiptera; Aleyrodidae
Description: lncRNA ENSSSA3NGG011320
Source: RNAcentral